RNAcentral lists this ribosomal RNA (78 nucleotides) under Pyricularia oryzae. RNAcentral describes it as "partial 28S ribosomal RNA". The record is from RNAcentral. Lineage: Eukaryota; Fungi; Ascomycota; Sordariomycetes; Magnaporthales; Pyriculariaceae.
GUUGACCUCGGAUCAGGUAGGAAUACCCGCUGAACUUAAGCAUAUCAAUAAGCCGGAGGAAGGAGGAGAAAGAAAACG